UGGGGAAGUAUUGCGCAAUGGCCUAACGGCUGACGCAGCGACGCCGCGUGUGGGAUGACGCCUCGGGGUGUAAACCACUGUUGCUCGAGACGAAUAGCGAGCUUUAGCUCGCCUGACGGUAUCGAGUGAGGAAGCACCGGCUAACUCCGUGCCAGCAGCCGCGGUAAUACGGAGGGUGCGAGCGUUGUCCGGAACCACUGGGCGUAAAGGGCGCGUAGGUGGUCAGGUAAGGGUGUGGUGAAAGUCCGGGGGCUCAACCCGCAGAUCUGCCGUGCCGACUGCUUGACUGGAGCAUUGCAGAGGCAGAUGGAAUUCCGGGUGUAGCGGUGGAAUUGCGUAGAGAUCCGGAAGAAGACCGGUGGCGAAGGCGAUCUGCUGGGCAAUGGCUGACACUGAGGCGCGACAGCGUGGGAGCAAACA
RNAcentral lists this ribosomal RNA (420 nucleotides) under uncultured bacterium. RNAcentral's name for it is "bacterial SSU rRNA". It matches the Rfam family "Bacterial small subunit ribosomal RNA", at positions 355 to 774 of the family's 1533-position model. The record is from RNAcentral.